AUAGUUAAUUUAUUCAUAAUUAAUCUGUAUUUAGUGGAUUACAGUUUUAAUGAAUUUGAUUGUAAUUGAAUAUUUAAGAUUUAUUAAUAAUAUGCAAUUUCAUAUUUUAGAUAUCUUUAGAUAAGAACUAUUUGCAUCUAAUGAUAAAAACAAUAUAGAAGUGUUAUUCUGUUGUCAGUUUUUAGAAUUAAUUCUAGAAAUAAAAUUAAAUUUUUAACCUGUACUCUUAAGAUUUAGAGCAUUAAACCUGAACUAAAAUUAAAAAAAAAUAAAAUUUUAGGAACUGAUAAUAGGAAAUAGGAAGCAAUUACAUAUGCUUUGUUUGUUUAACCAAGUAAAAAUGUAGUUAGUUGAAAUUGUGUAACAGCAGAACAGAAAUAUUUCAGUGCAUAGUAUUGUAUUAAAGAAAUGAAAAUAAAACAGUGAUCAAAAACAGAAUGAUUAUUGUUAUAAUCAUCAAAAAUUAUGAGCAUUGUUUUUAAUUAUAUGAAACAUAGCUGAGACUUUCAUUGAGAAUUACAUGUAGCUCUGGAUUGAAAAACUGUAGUUUAUUCCAGUUCCCAAUCACUGAUUUAUAAAAACAUUAUCAUAUAGUAAUUUAUGAGAAUCAUUAUUUUUCUUAUUAAUUACAAACUGAUUAACCAAUAGUGUUUUACAUUUGUUGCAUUAUAAAAGUAGUAAAAUAAGGUUUAAAGAUGAUUUUAUAUAAACAUUUUAUGGAAAGGAAAAUAACAGUAUUGAUGAAUAUUGUGAAUAAGUUUCUGAUAACAGAAGAUAGAAAUGUUUUCUGAAUGAUUAACAUAAAUUAUGGAUUAAUUGAAAGGUUUACUGAAGAAUGAAAUCAGAAGCAAAGAAGAAAAUGGCAAUUGU
Long non-coding RNA from Centruroides sculpturatus (bark scorpion), 870 nucleotides. RefSeq lists it as uncharacterized. The record is from RefSeq and is a predicted model, not a curated record. NCBI's taxonomy places the organism in Eukaryota, Metazoa, Arthropoda, Arachnida, Scorpiones, Buthidae. The transcript is spliced from 2 exons.